Molecule: long non-coding RNA, 2763 nt
Filed under: Lynx pardinus (Iberian lynx)
Lineage: Eukaryota; Metazoa; Chordata; Mammalia; Carnivora; Felidae
Rfam family: Z30 small nucleolar RNA (bases 2430-2526)
Source: RNAcentral
UCGCGAGCUGCUGCAAAGCUAGGCUACCGGCAAGCGGGAAGCGGGACUGAGUUGUAGCCAGGAGCCGAAAGGCCGGGUGACUGCUGCUGUCAGUCUCCGCGGGCCGGAGCAAACCUCCCGAGACAGGGCGUGGGAGCUUGAGGAGUUCGGAGAGCGGGCUGUGGAAUCGUGCCUGGGUCUUUGGUUUGAGCCCUGGCUUCGGCCUUACUCGUAUUUCCCUGCAAGUACGGCCCCUCUCAGUCUUUCCUGAAGUCGGUGGGGUUUGGACUUUAUUAUUAUUAUUUUGUUGAGAGUCCAUUGUAUGGAAGCACCGGUUGACCUGCGCAGCGCGCCGUGGAGACCGCCAUGAGGUAGAAGCUAGGGGAGGGAGGGCUUAGAGAUGCGUGUAUGGUUUACCUGCGUGCAGUAUUGGAGGUAAGUUGGCUUUUUAAAUUGUGCUGAUGACUUUGUAGUCUAGGAGCUUAAGUUUAGGAGGGAGGGGCGCCCAGUGACCGAAUUAAACGUUCAUUUAUUGAGCCUCGUCCUAUGUACCAGGCACUGUUCCGAGUGCGAUGGAUGCAAAGGCCAGGAAGACACUGGCCUGGUUCUUGAGGAAGUCCGUGCCAUGGGGCCGAUGGCAGAGAUGGAAGGAGGGGUAUGUGCAUGGGUAAAUAAGUAGCGUGUGAUGGCGUGCUGUGGUGGGGAAAAGUGCUGUGUAAGUGAGACGAGAGGAUGACAGAGUUAGAGACCACUUAGAGAAGGUGACGUUUGAGUAAGGUUACUAUAAUUAGAAGUUCUCCAGGUUGAAAGGGUUGGGGGAGGCACUCCAGAUGGAGCAAAGUGUACUGAGGAAGAGAACUAGGAAUGUGUGCGUGCUGUGAAUGGCGGGAGCACACUUGGAGCUCCGCUCCCAAGUUUCGUGCUUUUAGACAAAGUUAUUUAAGUUCUCUCAGCCUCUGUUUUCCUCGUUUUUAAUGUGUACUUCACCGGUGUAGGAAGAUGAACUAAAGACUCCAGCGUAGCCCCUGUAAAACAGGCACUUUGUUAGUCCCCUCGCCCCCCGCCCCUUUUUAAUGGAGUUUAAUUGCUGAAUGGUUAACACAGACCAACAGCUGUCAAUUUUUAACUAAGGAGUAUCAAUCUAUUGACAUUUAUAGAUGGCUGAAGGAAGCAUGUGCUGUCUCCAGAAUUGUUACUUAGGUACUGACAACACCAUGCUGAAAGGCUGGGGAGGGUGACAUUGUGAUCCAAGUACUUUUCCACGUCAGUGACAACAUACCACCAGAAGGUGUCAUUUAGAAUAAAUGAAAUGCAGUCAGCUUUCUUACUCAGAAAUUGAUUAUCCAGGUUUUGAAUUACUUACACUUUGCAUUGCUUCUUUUUUUUUUUAACAACAUUUUUUUAAAUUUUCUUUUUUUUUAAAUUUUUGUAUUUAUUUUUGAGACAGAGAGAGACAGAACAUGAGCAGGGAAGGGGCAGAGAGAGAGGGAGACAUAGAAUCUGAAGCAGGCUCCAGGCUCUGGGCUGUCAGCACAGAGCCCGACGUGGGGCUCGAACUCACAGACUCUGAGAUCAUGGCCUGAGCCAAAGUCGGAUGCUCAACCGACUGAGCCACCCAGGCGCCCCUUGCAUUGCUUCUUUUAUCUUUCCUAUGGCCUGGAGAAAAAUGAAAUUAAGCCUCAUAUUUAACUGGUAGUGGAAAAAUGUAAAUCUGAUGAUCAAACCUCUGUUCUCUUUCCAGCUCUACUGUUAGUUAAUUUGUUGUGAACCUUUGGCAAAACGUAGCCUGUCUGGAUCUUGGACUUUUAAGAUAGAAGAUUCCAGUAUAAAGAUUUUAUGACUAUACUUCUUCUCUUUGUUAGGAGCAGAAUUAUAAAUCAAACUGUAUAUUAAAUGAGCUGGAGUUUAUAGUGGAAUGUAGUAGAAAAUCUUUUCUAAAGCUUUUACUUUAGGACGAUAAAUCUCUUCACAGACAUCCCUGAAAUUUUAUCAUGCCUAGUGUUUGGGCUCAUUAAAAAAAAAUUUGGGGGGCGCCUGGGUGACUCAGUCAUUUAAGCAUCCAACCCUUGAUUUUGGCUCCAGUCAUGAUCUCACAGUUGGCGGGAUGGAGCCCUGCAUCCGUCGGGCUCUGCACUGACAGCCUGGAGCCUGCUUGGGAUUCUCUCUCCCUCUCUCAAAAAUAAAUAAACAUUAAAAAAUUUUUUUUUUAAUCAUAAAUGCUUCUCCACUCUCCUGUAUUUCAAAAGCAAAAAAGUUCCUCCAAGUUUGCAUUUUUGUACAGCAGACUUGCUUAAAGCAAAACAUAAUGGAAAAUAAAGUAUUUGUUGAAAACCCAUGGUUGAAACUUAUCUAUAAAGAAGCCUUUAUUUUUUUCAUAGGUUAACCUAAGUUUUCUUGGAUGUGGAGAGUGUUGGGCUGCUCUUAGGUAUAGAAGGAUGUGAAAUGGAAUGAUGCGAUGAUGAGUGAAGUAUAGUCUGACCUGGUAUUGCCACUGCUUCAGGGUUGGCCUUGACCAGGGUAUGAUCCCUUAAUCUUCUCUCUGAGCUGAUUCUGGUUGUGGUUUUUCCACAUUGGUAUGUUUUAAUCUAUUUGCAUACUGAUUUUAUUAUGUAUAAGAAUGUUUCUUUGCUAUUCUUUUGAAUUGCUAAUACUUUGCUGUUUUCCUUCUUAGGUUGAGGUGAAAAAUCUGGCUUUUGAUAUCUUCGUGGAGGACUACAUUAUUUCAAUCCUGAAUCUGGUUCAGUUUCCUUAUUGACUUAUGAUAUUAAAAAUGCUUAAUUAACU